CAACCCUCAAGCGCUGUUCCGCUUGGAGUUGGGGCUCUUGCAGCGAGCACUUUUAGUGUUUUGCAAGCCCUGAAAUUCAGCGGCGGGCCCGCCGGCACACCGAGCGCAGUAAUAUUACUUCUCGCUUAGGGCGUGCGGCGCGGCGCAGCCGACCUCUAAAACUUUCCAA
This 169-nucleotide unclassified non-coding RNA is filed under the name uncultured Togniniaceae. RNAcentral describes it as "sequence contains ITS2". The record is from RNAcentral. Lineage: Eukaryota; Fungi; Ascomycota; Sordariomycetes; Diaporthales.